This 139-nucleotide small nucleolar RNA is filed under the name Sorghum bicolor (sorghum). RNAcentral describes it as "Small nucleolar RNA Z247". It matches the Rfam family "Small nucleolar RNA Z247". Rfam says of the family: Z247 is a member of the C/D class of snoRNA which contain the C (UGAUGA) and D (CUGA) box motifs. Most of the members of the box C/D family function in directing site-specific 2'-O-methylation of substrate RNAs. Lineage: Eukaryota; Viridiplantae; Streptophyta; Magnoliopsida; Poales; Poaceae. The record is from Rfam by way of RNAcentral.
AAGAUCGAGGACGACGAGUUGAUCUCCUACAUCCUCAUGGGUGUGGGGGAAGAGUAUGAACCAGUUACGACUUCAGUUGCAAAUCGCACUGAUCCGAUCUCUCUUGCAGAACUACAGGCGCAGAUCGUGAGUUUUGAAC